AUUGAACGCUGGCGGCAUGCCUUACACAUGCAAGUCGAACGGCAGCACGGGUGCUUGCACCUGGUGGCGAGUGGCGAACGGGUGAGUACUACAUCGGAACGUACCUUAUCGUGGGGGAUAACGCAGCGAAAGCUGUGCUAAUACCGCAUACGCCCGGAUGGGGAAAGCGGGGGAUCGAAAGCCCUCGCGCAAUUAGAGCGGCCGAUGCCUGAUUAGCUUGUUGGUGGGGUAAAAGCCCACCAAGGCGACGAUCAGUAGCUGGUCUGAGAGGACGAUCAGCCACACUGGGACUGAGACACGGCCCAGACUCCUACGGGAGGCAGCAGUGGGGAAUUUUGGACAAUGGGGGCAACCCUGAUCCAGCAAUGCCGCGUGAGUGAAGAAGGCCUUCGGGUUGUAAAGCUCUUUUGUCAGGGAAGAAACACCGGCUCUAACACAGUCCGGGAAUGACGGUACCUGAAGAAUAAGCACCGGCUAACUACGUGCCAGCAGCCGCAGUAA
This 501-nucleotide ribosomal RNA is filed under the name uncultured bacterium. Its description in RNAcentral is "partial 16S ribosomal RNA". It matches the Rfam family "Bacterial small subunit ribosomal RNA", at positions 30 to 523 of the family's 1533-position model. The record is from RNAcentral.